Molecule: ribosomal RNA, 305 nt
Filed under: uncultured bacterium
Lineage: Bacteria
Description: bacterial SSU rRNA
Rfam family: Bacterial small subunit ribosomal RNA
Source: RNAcentral
AGCAGCCUACGGGAGGCAGCAGUGGGGAAUAUUGGACAAUGGGCGCAAGCCUGAUCCAGCAAUGCCGCGUGUGUGAAGAAGGCCCUCGGGUUGUAAAGCACUUUUAUCAGGAGCGAAAUCUUCAGAGCUAAUACCUCUGUAGUCUGACGGUACCUGAGGAAUAAGCACCGGCUAACUCCGUGCCAGCAGCCGCGGUAAUACGGAGGGUGCAAGCGUUAAUCGGAAUUACUGGGCGUAAAGCGUGCGUAGGCGGUUUGUUAAGUCUGCUGUGAAAGCCCCGGGCUCAACCUGGGAAUGGCAGUGGG